UUAAGUUCAGCGGGUAGUCCUACCUGAUUUGAGGUCAGAUGGUCAAAGUAUUGUCUCUCAAGAGACGAUUAGAAGCUGAGCUUCAAAGCAUGCAGCCUCGCAAUGGCGAUGAUAGUUAUCACACCAGAGUUUGGCAGCAAAAGCUCUGCUAAUGCAUUUAAGGACAGCCGACUUUGGUAAGCCCGCAGAAUCCCAACGUC
This 200-nucleotide unclassified non-coding RNA is filed under the name Hygrophorus sp. RNAcentral's name for it is "partial internal transcribed spacer 2". Lineage: Eukaryota; Fungi; Basidiomycota; Agaricomycetes; Agaricales; Hygrophoraceae. The record is from RNAcentral.